Molecule: long non-coding RNA, 491 nt
Filed under: Pan troglodytes (chimpanzee)
Lineage: Eukaryota; Metazoa; Chordata; Mammalia; Primates; Hominidae
Description: long non-coding RNA NONPTRT009810
Source: RNAcentral
AGGCUCAAGAGAGGCUCCCUCAAUGAGGCAAGCAGAGUCCCUGCCCAGAGCCCCCAACUCCACACCUCCCCAGGAUGCAGGCCCAGGAGAGGCCCCCUCGAUGAGGUUGCCACGAAACAUCCAAUAUUUGAAAGUGUUCUAUGGACCUCAAAUGGCAUGAGACACCUUAAAAUGUUUGCUGGAUGGCAGUAGGAGGAGGCUCUGCUGCUCAUGUUCAUGGAGUCCCACGGCCACCAGGCCCUUUGAAUCUCGAGUUUCUGGCUUCAGAUGCCCCCAGGUUUCCAGAAGUCAAGAUUUCUAACAAAUGGACCCAAACCCCAAGCCAGCACCUGGAAGUGGCAGCAACACGGCUGUGUGGACCCGGGUGCUGGGAACCUUCUGGAGGCAGCUGGACACAGGGGCUGCCGGUGCGGAGAGGGACGCUGCUCAUUUUGACAUUUCAUCUGAAUAACGUUCCAAGUGUUCUAAUGAAAGCCUCUGCGCUCCCUUUG